UGGGGAAUAUUGCACAAUGGGCGCAAGCCUGAUGCAGCCAUGCCGCGUGUGUGAAGAAGGCCUUUGGGUUGUAAAGCACUUUCAGCGGGGAGGAAGGCGUUAAGGAUAAUAACCUUGGCGAUUGACGUUACCCGCAGAAGAAGCACCGGCUAACUCCGUGCCAGCAGCCGCGGUAAUACGGAGGGUGCAAGCGUUAAUCGGAAUUACUGGGCGUAAAGCGCACGCAGGCGGUCUGUCAAGUCGGAUGUGAAAUCCCCGGGCUCAACCUGGGAACUGCAUUCGAAACUGGCAGGGUAGAGUCUUGUAGGGGGGGGUAGAAUUCCAGGUGUAGCGGUGAAAUGCGUAGAGAUCUGGAGGAAUACCGGUGGCGAAGGCGGCCCCCUGGACAAAGACUGACGCUCAGGUGCGAAGGCGUGGGGAGCAAACAGG
RNAcentral lists this ribosomal RNA (429 nucleotides) under Chloroflexota bacterium. Its description in RNAcentral is "Chloroflexi bacterium partial 16S ribosomal RNA". It matches the Rfam family "Bacterial small subunit ribosomal RNA", at positions 355 to 776 of the family's 1533-position model. Lineage: Bacteria; Bacillati; Chloroflexota. The record is from RNAcentral.